UACGGGGGGGGCAAGCGUUGUUCGGAAUUACUGGGCGUAAAGGGCUCGUAGGCGGCCAACUAAGUCAAACGUGAAAUCCCUCGGCUUAACCGGGGAACUGCGCUUGAUACUGGAUGGCUUGAGAUUGGGAGAGGGAUGCGGAAUUCCAGGUGUAGCGGUGAAAUGCGUAGAUAUCUGGAGGAACACCGGUGGCGAAGGCGGCAUCCUGGACCAACACUGACGCUGAGUGAGCGAAAGCCAGGGGAGCAAACGGG
Molecule: ribosomal RNA, 254 nt
Filed under: uncultured bacterium
Lineage: Bacteria
Also listed under: 1 other name
Description: partial 16S ribosomal RNA
Rfam family: Bacterial small subunit ribosomal RNA
Source: RNAcentral